ACUCAAAUGAAUUGACGGGGGCCCGCACAAGCGGUGGAGCAUGUGGUUCAAUUCGACGCAACGCGAAGAACCUUACCUGGGCUAGACAACGGUGGACAGCCCUAGAAAUAGGGUUUUCCCUUCGGGGACUACCGGUUCAGGUGCUGCAUGGCUGUCGUCAGCUCGUGCCGUGAGGUGUUGGGUUAAGUCCCGCAACGAGCGCAACCCUCGUCCUUAGUUGCCACCAUUAAGUUGGGCACUCUAAGGAGACUGCCGGCGUUAAGCCGGAGGAAGGUGGGGACGACGUCAAGUCAUCAUGGCCCUUAUGUCCAGGGCUACACACGUGCUACAAUGGGCGGUACAAAGGGUUGCAAACCUGCAAGGGGGAGCCAAUCCCAAAAAGCCGCUCUCAGUUCGGAUUGGAGUCUGCAACUCGACUCCAUGAAGUUGGAAUCGCUAGUAAUCGCGGAUCAGAACGCCGCGGUGAAUACGUUCCCGGGCCUUGUACACACCGCCCGU
This 498-nucleotide ribosomal RNA is filed under the name uncultured bacterium. Its description in RNAcentral is "partial 16S ribosomal RNA". It matches the Rfam family "Bacterial small subunit ribosomal RNA", at positions 899 to 1397 of the family's 1533-position model. The record is from RNAcentral.